Molecule: ribosomal RNA, 534 nt
Filed under: Arsenophonus endosymbiont of Bemisia tabaci
Lineage: Bacteria; Pseudomonadati; Pseudomonadota; Gammaproteobacteria; Enterobacterales; Morganellaceae
Description: partial 23S ribosomal RNA
Rfam family: Bacterial large subunit ribosomal RNA
Source: RNAcentral
GGAGGCGAACCGGGGAAACUGAAACAUCUCAGUACCCCGAGGAAAAGAAAUCAACCGAGAUUCCCCCAGUAGCGGCGAGCGAACAGGGAGCAGCCCAGAGUCAGCAUCAAUAUUUACCGCAGGAGAAGGGUCUGGAAAGGCCGGCAAUAAAGGGUGAUAGCCCCGUAUCUGAAGCGGUAAGUGUUGUGAACUCGAAGAGUAAGGCGGGACACGUGUUAUCCUGUCUGAAUAUGGGGGGACCAUCCUCCAAGGCUAAAUACUCCUGACUGACCGAUAGUGAACCAGUACCGUGAGGGAAAGGCGAAAAGAACCCCGGCGAGGGGAGUGAAAUAGAACCUGAAACCGUGUACGUACAAGCAGUGGGAGCACCCGAAAAGGUGUGACUGCGUACCUUUUGUAUAAUGGGUCAGCGACUUAUAUUCUGUAGCAAGGUUAACCGCAUAGGGGAGCCGUAGGGAAACCGAGUCUUAACUGGGCGUUAAGUUGCAGGGUAUAGACCCGAAACCCGGUGAUCUAGCCAUGGGCAGGUUGAAA